GAUGAACGCUGGCGGCGUGCCUAAUACAUGCAAGUCGAGCGAACGGACGAGAAGCUUGCUUCUCUGAUGUUAGCGGCGGACGGGUGAGUAACACGUGGAUAACCUACCUAUAAGACUGGGAUAACUUCGGGAAACCGUAGCUAAUACCGGAUAAUAUUUUGAACCGCAUGGUUCAAAAGUGAAAGACGGUCUUGCUGUCACUUAUAGAUGGAUCCGCGCUGCAUUAGCUAGUUGGUAAGGUAACGGCUUACCAAGGCAACGAUGCAUAGCCGACCUGAGAGGGUGAUCGGCCACACUGGAACUGAGACAAGGUCCAGACUCCUAAGGGAGGCAGCAGUAGGGAAUCUUCCGCAAUGGGCGAAAGCCUGACGGAGCAACGCCGCGUGAGUGAUGAAGGUCUUCGGAUCGUAAAACUCUGUUAUUAGGGAAGAACAUAUGUGUAAGUAACUGUGCACAUCUUGACGGUACCUAAUCAGAAAGCCACGGCUAACUACGUG
This 497-nucleotide ribosomal RNA is filed under the name uncultured bacterium. Its description in RNAcentral is "partial 16S ribosomal RNA". It matches the Rfam family "Bacterial small subunit ribosomal RNA", at positions 28 to 507 of the family's 1533-position model. The record is from RNAcentral.